RNAcentral lists this unclassified non-coding RNA (391 nucleotides) under soil metagenome. RNAcentral describes it as "partial contains 5.8S ribosomal RNA, internal transcribed spacer 2, and large subunit ribosomal RNA". The stretch from base 1 to 122 matches the Rfam family "5.8S ribosomal RNA", at positions 35 to 154 of the family's 154-position model. The record is from RNAcentral.
GAUGAAGAACGUAGCGAAAUGCGAUACUUGGUGUGAAUUGCAGAAUCCCGUGAACCAUCGAGUCUUUGAACGCAAGUUGCGCCCGAAGCCAUUAGGCCGAGGGCACGCCUGCCUGGGCGUCACACGUCGUUGCCCCCCCAUCUACUCCUUCGGGAUGGCGGGGGGCGGAUGAUGGCCUCCCGUGCGCCUCGUCGCGCGGUUGGCAUAAAUGCCAAGUCCUCGGCGACGCACGCCACGACAAUCGGUGGUUGCGAAACCUCGGUUGCCCGUCGUGUGCGGUCGUCGCGCAUCGAGGGCUCGAAAAAAUUGCCGGGCUCCGGCUCGGCUUUCAACGCGACCCCAGGUCAGGCGGGGUUACCCGCUGAAUUUAAGCAUAUCAAUAAGCGGAGGA